Molecule: ribosomal RNA, 253 nt
Filed under: uncultured bacterium
Lineage: Bacteria
Description: partial 16S ribosomal RNA
Rfam family: Bacterial small subunit ribosomal RNA
Source: RNAcentral
UACAGAGGGGGCAAGCGUUGUUCGGAAUUACUGGGCGUAAAGGGCGCGUAGGCGGCCCUCUAAGUCAGACGUGAAAUCCCUCGGCUCAACCGGGGAACUGCGUCUGAGACUGGAAGGCUUGAAUUCGGGAGAGGGAUGUGGAAUUCCAGGUGUAGCGGUGAAAUGCGUAGAUAUCUGGAGGAACACCGGAGGCGAAGGCGAAUCACUGGACCGCUUCUGACGCUGAGGCGCGAAAGCUAGGGGAGCAAACAGG